RNAcentral lists this ribosomal RNA (497 nucleotides) under uncultured bacterium. RNAcentral's name for it is "partial 16S ribosomal RNA". It matches the Rfam family "Bacterial small subunit ribosomal RNA", at positions 28 to 507 of the family's 1533-position model. The record is from RNAcentral.
GAUGAACGCUGGCGGCGUGCCUAAUACAUGCAAGUCGAGCGAACAGACGAGGAGCUUGCUCCUCUGACGUUAGCGGCGGACGGGUGAGUAACACGUGGAUAACCUACCUAUAAGACUGGGAUAACUUCGGGAAACCGGAGCUAAUACCGGAUAAUAUAUUGAACCGCAUGGUUCAAUAGUGAAAGACGGUUUUGCUGUCACUUAUAGAUGGAUCCGCGCCGCAUUAGCUAGUUGGUAAGGUAACGGCUUACCAAGGCAACGAUGCGUAUCCGACCGGAGAGGGUGAUCGGCCACACGGGAACUGAGACGCGGUCCAGGCUCCUACGGGAGGCAGCAGUAGGGAAUCGUCCGCAAUGGGCGAAAGCCUGACGGAGCAACGCCGCGUGAGUUAUGAAGGUCUUCGGAUCGUAAAACUCUGUUAUUAGGGAAGAACAAAUGUGUAAGUAACUAUGCACGUCUUGACGGUACCUAAUCAGAAAGCCACGGCUAACUACGUG